GCAUGGGUUUGGAUUUAUGGCAGGCCCAUCACCCUGGACCUCUCAUAAGUGUCCCAUGCUAGAGCAACCUGUGACUCCGAACCAUUCCCUGGCCUCUGUGCCUGUAGGCUAUCGGCACUGAAGUGGGUCUCACAGUC
Nannospalax galili (Upper Galilee mountains blind mole rat) is the source of this 137-nucleotide small nucleolar RNA. The record is from Ensembl. Lineage: Eukaryota; Metazoa; Chordata; Mammalia; Rodentia; Spalacidae.